UACGUAGGCAGCGAGCGUUGUUCGGAAUUACUGGGCGUAAAGAGUGUGUAGGCGGUGCUCUAAGUUCGGUGUGAAAUCUCCUGCUUAACUGGGAGGGUGCGCCGAAAACUGGAGUGCUCGAGCGUGGGAGAGGAAAGCGGAAUUCCUGGUGUAGCGGUGAAAUGACGUAGAUAUCAGGAGGAACACCUGCGGUGUAGACGGCUUUCUGGACCAUUGCUGACGCUGAGACACGAAAGCGUGGGGAGCAAACAGG
This 253-nucleotide ribosomal RNA is filed under the name uncultured bacterium. RNAcentral's name for it is "partial 16S ribosomal RNA". It matches the Rfam family "Bacterial small subunit ribosomal RNA", at positions 524 to 776 of the family's 1533-position model. The record is from RNAcentral.